UGGGAGAGGAUGGUAGAAUUCCAGGUGUAGCGGUGAAAUGCGUAGAGAUCUGGAGGAAUACCGAUGGCGAAGGCAGCCAUCUGGCCUAACACUGACGCUGAGGUGCGAAAGCAUGGGGAGCAAACAGGAUUAGAUACCCUGGUAGUCCAUGCCGUAAACGAUGUCUACUAGCCGUUGGGGCCUUUGAGGCUUUAGUGGCGCAGCUAACGCGAUAAGUAGACCGCCUGGGGAGUACGGUCGCAAGACUAAAACUCAAAUGAAUUGACGGGGGCCCGCACAAGCGGUGGAGCAUGUGGUUUAAUUCGAUGCAACGCGAAGAACCUUACCUGGCCUUGACAUAGUAAGAACUUUCCAGAGAUGGAUUGGUGCCUUCGGGAACUUACAUACAGGUGCUGCAUGGCUGUCGUCAGCUCGUGUCGUGAGAUGUUGGGUUAAGUCCCGCAACGAGCGCAACCCUUUUCCUUAUUUGCCAGCGAGUAAAGUCGGGAACUUUAAGGAUACUGCCAGUGACAAACUGGAGGAAGGCGGGGACGACGUCAAGUCAUCAUGGCCCUUACGGCCAGGGCUACACACGUGCUACAAUGGUCGGUACAAAGGGUUGCUACCUAGCGAUAGGAUGCUAAUCUCAAAAAGCCGAUCGUAGUCCGGAUUGGAGUCUGCAACUCGACUCCAUGAAGU
Molecule: ribosomal RNA, 678 nt
Filed under: Acinetobacter sp.
Lineage: Bacteria; Pseudomonadati; Pseudomonadota; Gammaproteobacteria; Moraxellales; Moraxellaceae
Description: bacterial SSU rRNA
Rfam family: Bacterial small subunit ribosomal RNA
Source: RNAcentral